GAUGAACGCUGGCGGCGUGCCUAAUACAUGCAAGUCGAGCGAGCGGCGGACGGGUGAGUAAUGUCUGGGAAACUGCCUGAUGGAGGGGGAUAACUACUGGAAACGGUAGCUAAUACCGCAUACCAUCAGAUGUGCCCAGAUGGGAUGAGCUAGUGGGUGGGGUAACUGAUCACCUAGGCGACGAUCCAUAGCUGGUCUGAGAGGAGGACACGCGACACUGGCAUUGGUAAACGGUCCAGUCUCCUUCGGGAGUCAUCAGUGGGGACUAUUGCACAAUGGGCGCAAGCCUGAUGUAGCCAUGCCGCGUGUAUGAUGAAGGCCUUCGGUUGAUAAAGUACUUUUAGCGGUGAGGCGGUACCCGACGAAGAAGCACCGGCUAACUCCGUGCCAGCAGCCGCGGUAAUAC
This 406-nucleotide ribosomal RNA is filed under the name uncultured bacterium. Its description in RNAcentral is "partial 16S ribosomal RNA". It matches the Rfam family "Bacterial small subunit ribosomal RNA", at positions 28 to 526 of the family's 1533-position model. The record is from RNAcentral.